This 741-nucleotide long non-coding RNA is filed under the name Homo sapiens (human). Its description in RNAcentral is "HSALNT0183324". The record is from RNAcentral. Lineage: Eukaryota; Metazoa; Chordata; Mammalia; Primates; Hominidae.
CCAAGACAAGCAAGUCUUUGUCAAAUGCUUGCGAUGACAAGGCCAAUGAGCUCCUCCUGCCCCUGAGAGGGCUCCAGCUGCUCCUGACCCUGGGCCUGGCUGUUCAUCUUCUCUUCAGCUUCAAUCUCUUCUGAUGUGGGGAUGGAGUUCUUCUUGGGGCGACCUUUGGGUUUUGUGGGUGCUUCCUGUCCACCUUUAAGAACCUACGGUGACAGUGAGGGUGACCAACAGAUAAUGUGUAUGAAAGGACCAGAACGGCACCUGAAUGCUAACACACAGAUAUUAAGGGGACCUUUAACGAGGUAGAGAUGCUGACAGAAACCAACCCUGGGGAGAAGACGUUCCCUGUAUUUCUUUUCACCUUUAUAGGGCAGCGAGGGCCACAUAACUGAUGACUGUUUCCAUGAAGCUGAGAAACAAGUUUGGAUUCCCCAGCAUGAAUCUCCUCCCAGACACUGCUGCUCCCAUUAGCUGACUUUCUCAGCCUGAAGAUGUGAUGUUCCACUGGACCUCAGGCAAGGCCCCAAAUGCCAAGGCGCUGACUUGGAGAUGACUGGGGAGCAGGGACUGAGAAAGGACAAAUGCUCAGGGCUGUGCGGAGUCCCUGAAACUCAUAGAAUUCACUUUUGGCUUAUGUAUCCUGGCCUCCAAAUAUUUGGAUUCUCUGAAGACAUGGAUUUUGUGGCUAGGUCUUCACCUGCAGCUGAGUGAGUCCCAGAGACUGAGCCAAGUCCAACCUAG